CAGCCGCCACGGUAACACGUAGGGUGCAAGCGUCAAUCGGAAUUACUGGGCGUAAAGCGUGCGCAGGCGGUUCGCUAAGACAGAUGUGAAAUCCCCGGGCUUAACCUGGGAACUGCGUUCUGAACUGGAUAGCUAGAGUGUGUCAGAGGGGGGUAGAAUUCCACGUGUAGCAGUGAAAUGCGUAGAGAUGUGGAGGAAUACCGAUGGCGAAGGCAGCCCCCUGGGAUAGCACUGACGUUCAUGCCCGAAAGCGUGGGUAGCAAACAGGAUUAGAUACCCGUGUAGUCCCUGUCUCUUAUAC
Molecule: ribosomal RNA, 301 nt
Filed under: uncultured bacterium
Lineage: Bacteria
Description: partial 16S ribosomal RNA
Rfam family: Bacterial small subunit ribosomal RNA
Source: RNAcentral